AAUGUCCGCUCUAGCUCGUUGACUCUCAAUCAAUUGAAAGAACUUACAAAAAAGGUAACAAGUAAUUUUCAUACUCACGUAAUAUUCUCCAUGCAAAAUUUCAUCAAAAAGCCAACGCAGCAUCACACAUCACAAAAGACGAAAUCCCCAAGGUGAUAUUGAACGCCACUUCAACUUCUACACUGAGGUCUGAGGAGAUUAGGAGAAGGCACUCAAGACAGAUAUCCGUUCAUGUUGUCUGCAAGUGAUUCCCGACGUUUCAGCACCUGAUGGGCAACAGUGCUGGACAAUGGAUUGCUGAAAGUGAAAACACCCAGUGUUGGCUACAUACUACAAGGCAACAGCAAAUGUAAAGUCAAUCACAAAUGGCGGUGAAGGUUGAUGAAGGUGAAAAAUCCUUUCCACACUACCCUAUCUGACAACAACAGCAUGUUCCUGGCUCAUUCGAUCCUCACUCUAGGGACUGGGCAUCUAAUUUAAUUAAUAAUCACUUGUAUCACCUUUUUAGCUUUAUUCCUGUCAUUCUGCACUUAACCUUACCUGUUAUAAAUCUUUCUUUUCUUCUGUAGGAUUGAUAAUUGCAGAGCACCAUUGGAAUGGGAGAGCUUGCCUGGCUUCGUCUGGUCCUAAGUUACACAAUACAAAACACAGCAUAAGUUACUUACACAAAUCUAAACAAAUUUAGAUUAGGAAUUUUAGCUUAAAUUUCAGCUGAACUUUCGUGUGACCUAGGUGCUUGUGACAAUAGAAAUCAAGUUAUCCAAUCCAAUAAUGCAAACUAUGUCUUCCAAAAUAGUUUCUACUGUCAUUUAAUUUUUAUGAUAACAUUUCAGGUUAACUUCCCCUGUCAAAUUGUGGUAAAUCUUAAAGAUAUUGAUGCCUUCCCCAGAUGCAAUUCUGUUUUGUUAUCUCUAAUGCUGCUAUCUCUUUGCCACUUAGUUCUAAUUUAGGACAAUGUAACAUUGAUAGAUUUGAGGGCGAGAUUCUCACCAUCGUUAUAGUUGUUUGGAAACUGUCAGCACUAACCAAUGCUCACCGGUGGGCACUCAGCACUCAUCAGCCAUUGGGAUUUGGGUAAUUUGAUGAAAACUUCUGGAGCAUCAUGUGUCUAACCUGUAAAUCUUCCAUGUCUAAUUGUUCCCUAGCUAAAAUGGCUUUGCACCCUUGCACACUCUUCUUCCUUGUCCAGGUAACUCUCUUGCACAAUCAAUCAAUGCAGUUUCUUCUCUUUCUUGAUUGUGCAUGUGCGAGUUUAAACAAAUAGACUAGCAUUUAGGCAUACAAUGAAGAAAUGAAUAAACAUUUAAAAUUUA
Molecule: long non-coding RNA, 1313 nt
Organism: Daphnia pulex (common water flea)
Lineage: Eukaryota; Metazoa; Arthropoda; Branchiopoda; Diplostraca; Daphniidae
Exons: 4
Source: RefSeq, a predicted model, not a curated record